Long non-coding RNA from Podarcis raffonei (Aeolian wall lizard), 1121 nucleotides. RefSeq lists it as uncharacterized. The transcript is spliced from 2 exons. The record is from RefSeq and is a predicted model, not a curated record. Lineage: Eukaryota; Metazoa; Chordata; Lepidosauria; Squamata; Lacertidae.
UUAGGGACACACACCUGUCCUUCAAAGUGGUGCAAUGCCAGUAGAAACAUGCCAUUGUGUAGAAUCCGAAGUUAAUUUCUGAGAAGUGACUUUCAAUAAGCCUCCCGCUCAGACUGGCUAUUGCGAGCCCUUGGGGUACCCGCAAGAUCUCAGUUUUAAGAAAUUCCUGUUCUUGUAUCACAAGAGAAGAAUCGUGGAAAGAUGUCUGUGUCCUGCAUAAGGGGCGGCUUGAAAACAGAGCAGUCUAUUUUGUCAGCCAAGUGUCUCCCCCACUUCUCGCACACCUCCCUUCUGCACGCACGCAUGCUACAAACGGGGAGGGCUUCUUUCGUUGCUCCACAUUUGGCAGAGACUUAGCUGCUUCUGUUUAUAAUGGCCCAAGCAGUCAGCGAGGGGAGAGAACGUGCUAUUGGUUUAGUUAGUUCAUGACUUACAGCAGCAGCAGCAGCAGCUCCAAAGUUGUAUCCCGGAGGAUCUCAAUUCUCCGCUCCUCCUUCAGCUGUGCAAAGUCAGCAUCACUGCUACCGACUGAGGGCUUUCAGGUCACUGAUUGACGGGAUCUCGGCUGGUUUUGCGCUUUCAGGGAAGAGUUGCAAGAGCAAUCCACCAAGGAAAAAGAAUGCAUGCCUCUAGAAGAAUACACUGCCUUCGUGCUCACAGGCCAAAACCUGCUGCUACCACCGGAGAGGCAGUGCAGAAUUCUUGUGGGUGCAAACAGCAGUGUCGAAAUGAGCAAACCGCCGUCGGUACACUCUACACACUCAUUGUCAUGGUCAUCCUAAUUGCAAUUUGGGGAGUCUGGGCCAGGAAAGAUUUCUGAGCAUGCUGAAGGAAGACGUUCGAUAUCAAAAGCUCAGAGAGACCCUCUUAGGGACAGGAAGGGCAAAACGCCCGGCUUAUACACACUGGAACUGUUAUCGAAGGACAAUUGCCGAUGGAUGCAAAGUCUCUCUCUGCCCCUCUUUCUGGCAACGCUCAAAAUUCAAGAGAGAAAAGAAUGCAAUGUGAUGAUUCUUUCGAGACUGCUUUGUAUAAUGAUGAUCGUAAAAUGAUGCAGCUCUGUAAAUCCUGUAAAUGUAAAGUAUGUAAAGUAUAAAUAUAAAAUAUACCUAUUUUAAGAA